GGCUGGGGGCGAGGGGUGCGUGGAACUUUUGGUGGCAAACAAGCUCCUGUGACUGUCUUUCAGGAGAAUGAAGAGGGAAAAGAACUGAAGAACAGUUUGUUGACUGAGGAGCUGAAGUAUUAAGUACAGAGACACAUAUAUAUUUAAAGACCCUGUGGAAAAAAGUUAAUGAACAAAAAAGAAUUGGAAGAAGGUACUGCCUCCAGUGAACCAAUUUAAAUAAGAUUCCCUGGGUAUCGAAGCCGUGAGAACACGGGAAUAUAUUGAGAAGGACAUUUUCCUACUUUGAAAGGAGUCGGUGACCGAAAGGUAUUAGUGAAAUUAAUUCUAUGGUCACUAACAGGCUUCAGAGACAUUGUGUCCACAUUUUCUUGAAGGGACACUGAAGGAGUCUCAGUGUGUAAACAUCCAUCCACGUCCAAAACUGUCUCCGCAUCUGAUGCCACGUGCUUAUGCUGGUGAGGAGACUGUGCCUCCUUGCACAGGGUCAGUCAGGUCAAAACCACCUUUGUGGGCAUUUGCAUCAUGAAAAUGAACAGAGCUGAGGGUCUUCACCGGAACAUACUUUCUUGCAUUUUCCUUUAAGAGAGAAUCAGUAACAGAGCAAUACUAGUGUGGCAUACGUCGCUGUUUGGAGUCUUGUCUUCAAAAUGUUUUCCAGCAUCAAACACAACAAUCUAUGAGAAACCACAUGGUGAGUAAGAGCAGCACACUCACGGCUCUGAAGAGCACAGCACAAGGCUGCAAUAAAGACCCACGUAUGUUCUCAACCUGCAGUGUGCUCAGUGCCUGCACAUCACAACUCAGGUGAUGAAGGGAUGGCAGUUUUACAUGAAUUAAUCAGUUUCCUUCUUAACCCCAUGCCAUUUCCCUCACCUGACCCACCCAAGAAAACACCCUUAAAAGGCUUCUCUCACACUGCUUACACAUAUUAAGCUUCUCGCCAAUUGCCUGCACGUGCUCGGAGAAGCUUGCAAUACCGUUAGUGUGUUAAUACUCACACAGCUGGACCUCAGCAACACAAGGCUUACUAGAAAGCGAAGACAAUAGCAAAGCUGGGCCCAGCAGCCGUUCCCUAAGGAACUCUUCGCCCCUUACACUGGAGCAAUUGAUCUCUCUGCUCCUCAACCAGGAACCGUAGAGCCCUACAGGGCACACAGCCAGUUACUAAGGACUCAGGGCCUGGAAUGAAGUGUAGUAUUUUCCUCCAAGAGCUUGUAUCUGCUAUAAACCAGUUUAAUUCUGCUAUAAACAAGUAGACUUCUAACUAAUAUUAAUAUAAACAAGCACUUUUUUUUCAGAGACAGGGUCUCACUCUGUCACCCAGGCUGGAGU
RNAcentral lists this long non-coding RNA (1335 nucleotides) under Homo sapiens (human). RNAcentral describes it as "HSALNT0331233". The record is from RNAcentral. Lineage: Eukaryota; Metazoa; Chordata; Mammalia; Primates; Hominidae.